Molecule: ribosomal RNA, 484 nt
Filed under: uncultured bacterium
Lineage: Bacteria
Description: bacterial SSU rRNA
Rfam family: Bacterial small subunit ribosomal RNA
Source: RNAcentral
AUUGAACGCUGGCGGCAUGCCUUACACAUGCAAGUCGAACGGUAACAGGUCUUCGGAUGCUGACGAGUGGCGAACGGGUGAGUAAUAUAUCGGAACGUGCCCAGUCGUGGGGGAUAACGCAGCGAAAGCUGUGCUAAUACCGCAUACGAUCUAUGGAUGAAAGCGGGGGAUCGCAAGACCUCGCGCGAUUGGAGCGGCCGAUAUCAGAUUAGGUAGUUGGUGGGUAAAGGCCACCAAGCCAACGAUCUGUAGCUGGUCUGAGAGGACGACCAGCCACACUGGAACUGAGACACGGUCCAGACUCCUACGGGAGGCAGCAGUGGGGAAUUUUGGACAAUGGGCGCAAGCCUGAUCCAGCAAUGCCGCGUGCAGGAUGAAGGCCUUCGGGUUGUAAACUGCUUUUGUACGGAACGAAAAGGACUCUGGUUAAUACCUGGGGCUCGAUGACGGUACCGUAAGAAUAAGCACCGGCUAACUACGUGCC